RNAcentral lists this ribosomal RNA (424 nucleotides) under uncultured Prevotella sp. RNAcentral's name for it is "bacterial SSU rRNA". It matches the Rfam family "Bacterial small subunit ribosomal RNA", at positions 338 to 759 of the family's 1533-position model. Lineage: Bacteria; Pseudomonadati; Bacteroidota; Bacteroidia; Bacteroidales; Prevotellaceae. The record is from RNAcentral.
CCUACGGGAGGCUGCAGUGAGGAAUAUUGGUCAAUGGGCGCAGGCCUGAACCAGCCAAGUAGCGUGAAGGAUGACUGCCCUAUGGGUUGUAAACUUCUUUUAUAAAGGAAUAAAGUCGGGUAUGUAUACCCGUUUGCAUGUACUUUAUGAAUAAGGAUCGGCUAACUCCGUGCCAGCAGCCGCGGUAAUACGGAGGAUCCGAGCGUUAUCCGGAUUUAUUGGGUUUAAAGGGAGCGUAGGUGGACUGGUAAGUCAGUUGUGAAAGUUUGCGGCUCAACCGUAAAAUUGCAGUUGAUACUGUCAGUCUUGAGUACAGUAGAGGUGGGCGGAAUUCGUGGUGUAGCGGUGAAAUGCUUAGAUAUCACGAAGAACUCCGAUUGCGAAGGCAGCUCACUGGAGCGCAACUGACGCUGAAGCUCGAAAG